GCCCUGGUGGUACAAUGGUUAAGCACUUGGCUGUUAACCAAAAGGUGGGUGGUUUGAACCCUCCAAUGGCU
RNAcentral lists this transfer RNA (71 nucleotides) under Loxodonta africana (African savanna elephant). It matches the Rfam family "tRNA". Rfam says of the family: Transfer RNA (tRNA) molecules are approximately 80 nucleotides in length. Lineage: Eukaryota; Metazoa; Chordata; Mammalia; Proboscidea; Elephantidae. The record is from Rfam by way of RNAcentral.